CUACCGGAGGCAGCAGUGGGGAAGUAUUAGCGCAAUGGGGGAAACCCGUGACGCAGCGAUGCCGCGUGGGUGAAUAAGGCCUUCGGGUUGUAAGCCCUUUCAGUGGGGAAGAUAAUGACGGUACCCACAGAAGAAGCCCCGGCUAACUCCGUGCCAGCAGCCGCGGUAAUACGGAGGGGGCGAGCGUUGUUCGGAAUUAUUGGGCGUAAAGGGCGCGUAGGCGGUCUAUCAAGUCAGGAGUGAAAGCCUCAGGCUCAACCUGGGAACUGCUUUUGAAACUGGUAGACUAGAGUCCGGCAGAGGGUGGUGGAAUUCCCCGUGUAGAGGUGAAAUUCGUAGAUAUGGGGAGGAAGACCGGAGGCGAAGGCGGCCACCUGGACCGGUACUGACGCUGAGGCGCGAAAGCGUGGGUAGCAAACAGGAUUAGAUACCCGGGUAGUC
Molecule: ribosomal RNA, 441 nt
Filed under: uncultured bacterium
Lineage: Bacteria
Description: bacterial SSU rRNA
Rfam family: Bacterial small subunit ribosomal RNA
Source: RNAcentral